CUCGGCAACGGAUAUCUCGGCUCUCGCAUCGAUGAAGAACGUAGCGAAAUGCGAUACUUGGUGUGAAUUGCAGAAUCCCGUGAACCAUCGAGUCUUUGAACGCAAGUUGCGCCCAAAGCCAUUCGGCCGAGGGCACGUCUGCCUGGGUGUCACGC
Molecule: ribosomal RNA, 155 nt
Filed under: Physocalymma scaberrimum
Lineage: Eukaryota; Viridiplantae; Streptophyta; Magnoliopsida; Myrtales; Lythraceae
Description: 5.8S ribosomal RNA
Rfam family: 5.8S ribosomal RNA
About the family: 5.8S ribosomal RNA (5.8S rRNA) is a component of the large subunit of the eukaryotic ribosome. It is transcribed by RNA polymerase I as part of the 45S precursor that also contains 18S and 28S rRNA. Functionally, it is thought that 5.8S rRNA may be involved in ribosome translocation.
Source: RNAcentral